AAAUCCGUCGAUUGUAAAAAUCGUGAGGGUUCAAGUCCCUCUAUCCCCAA
RNAcentral lists this transfer RNA (50 nucleotides) under Campanula propinqua. Its description in RNAcentral is "partial tRNA-Leu". Lineage: Eukaryota; Viridiplantae; Streptophyta; Magnoliopsida; Asterales; Campanulaceae. The record is from RNAcentral.